RNAcentral lists this ribosomal RNA (2902 nucleotides) under Acinetobacter baumannii. RNAcentral describes it as "23S ribosomal RNA". It matches the Rfam family "Bacterial large subunit ribosomal RNA". The record is from RNAcentral. RNAcentral also lists the same sequence under 3 other names. Lineage: Bacteria; Pseudomonadati; Pseudomonadota; Gammaproteobacteria; Moraxellales; Moraxellaceae.
GGUUAAGCGACUAAGCGUACACGGUGGAUGCCCUGGCAGUCAGAGGCGAUGAAGGACGUGCUAAUCUGCGAAAAGCGUCGGUAAGGUGAUAUGAACCGUUAUAACCGGCGAUGUCCGAAUGGGGAAACCCAGUGCAAUUCGUUGCACUAUCGUUAACUGAAUACAUAGGUUAACGAGGCGAACCGGGGGAACUGAAACAUCUAAGUACCCCGAGGAAAAGAAAUCAACCGAGAUUCCCCCAGUAGCGGCGAGCGAACGGGGAGCAGCCCAGAGUCUGAAUCAGCUUGUGUGUUAGUGGAACGGUCUGGAAAGUCCGACGGUACAGGGUGAUAGUCCCGUACACCAAAAUGCACAGGCUGUGAACUCGAAGAGUAGGGCGGGACACGUGGUAUCCUGUCUGAAUAUGGGGGGACCAUCCUCCAAGGCUAAAUACUCCUGACUGACCGAUAGUGAACCAGUACCGUGAGGGAAAGGCGAAAAGAACCCCGGCGAGGGGAGUGAAAAAGAACCUGAAACCGUGUACGUACAAGCAGUGGGAGCACCUUCGGGUGUGACUGCGUACCUUUUGUAUAAUGGGUCAGCGACUUAUAUUCUGUAGCAAGGUUAACCGUAUAGGGGAGCCGCAGGGAAACCGAGUCUUAACUGGGCGUUAAGUUGCAGGGUAUAGACCCGAAACCCGGUGAUCUAGCCAUGGGCAGGUUGAAGGUUGGGUAACACUAACUGGAGGACCGAACCGACUAAUGUUGAAAAAUUAGCGGAUGACUUGUGGCUGGGGGUGAAAGGCCAAUCAAACCGGGAGAUAGCUGGUUCUCCCCGAAAGCUAUUUAGGUAGCGCCUCGUGAACUCAUCUUCGGGGGUAGAGCACUGUUUCGGCUAGGGGGUCAUCCCGACUUACCAACCCGAUGCAAACUACGAAUACCGAAGAAUGUUAUCACGGGAGACACACGGCGGGUGCUAACGUCCGUCGUGAAGAGGGAAACAACCCAGACCGCCAGCUAAGGUCCCAAAGUCAUGGUUAAGUGGGAAACGAUGUGGGAAGGCACAGACAGCCAGGAUGUUGGCUUAGAAGCAGCCAUCAUUUAAAGAAAGCGUAAUAGCUCACUGGUCGAGUCGGCCUGCGCGGAAGAUGUAACGGGGCUAAACCAUGCACCGAAGCUGCGGCAGCGACACUAUGUGUUGUUGGGUAGGGGAGCGUUCUGUAAGCCUGCGAAGGUGUGCUGUGAGGCAUGCUGGAGGUAUCAGAAGUGCGAAUGCUGACAUAAGUAACGAUAAAGCGGGUGAAAAGCCCGCUCGCCGGAAGACCAAGGGUUCCUGUCCAACGUUAAUCGGGGCAGGGUGAGUCGACCCCUAAGGCGAGGCCGAAAGGCGUAGUCGAUGGGAAACAGGUUAAUAUUCCUGUACUUGGUGUUACUGCGAAGGGGGGACGGAGAAGGCUAUGUUAGCCGGGCGACGGUUGUCCCGGUUUAAGCAUGUAGGCUGGUUAUCCAGGCAAAUCCGGAUAAUCAAGGCUGAGGUGUGAUGACGAGGCACUACGGUGCUGAAGUAACAAAUGCCCUGCUUCCAGGAAAAGCCUCUAAGCAUCAGGUAACAUCAAAUCGUACCCCAAACCGACACAGGUGGUCAGGUAGAGAAUACCAAGGCGCUUGAGAGAACUCGGGUGAAGGAACUAGGCAAAAUGGUGCCGUAACUUCGGGAGAAGGCACGCUGGUGUGUAGGUGAAGUCCCUGCGGAUGGAGCUGAGACCAGUCGAAGAUACCAGCUGGCUGCAACUGUUUAUUAAAAACACAGCACUGUGCAAACACGAAAGUGGACGUAUACGGUGUGACGCCUGCCCGGUGCCGGAAGGUUAAUUGAUGGGGUUAUCCGUAAGGAGAAGCUCUUGAUCGAAGCCCCGGUAAACGGCGGCCGUAACUAUAACGGUCCUAAGGUAGCGAAAUUCCUUGUCGGGUAAGUUCCGACCUGCACGAAUGGCGUAAUGAUGGCCAGGCUGUCUCCACCCGAGACUCAGUGAAAUUGAACUCGCUGUGAAGAUGCAGUGUACCCGCGGCAAGACGGAAAGACCCCGUGAACCUUUACUAUAGCUUGACACUGAACAUUGAGCCUUGAUGUGUAGGAUAGGUGGGAGGCUUUGAAGCGUGGACGCCAGUCUGCGUGGAGCCAACCUUGAAAUACCACCCUUUAAUGUUUGAUGUUCUAACGUUGGCCCCUGACCGGGGUUGCGGACAGUGUCUGGUGGGUAGUUUGACUGGGGCGGUCUCCUCCCAAAGCGUAACGGAGGAGCACGAAGGUUAGCUAAUCCUGGUCGGACAUCAGGAGGUUAGUGCAAUGGCAUAAGCUAGCUUGACUGCGAGCGUGACGGCGCGAGCAGGUGCGAAAGCAGGUCAUAGUGAUCCGGUGGUUCUGAAUGGAAGGGCCAUCGCUCAACGGAUAAAAGGUACUCCGGGGAUAACAGGCUGAUACCGCCCAAGAGUUCAUAUCGACGGCGGUGUUUGGCACCUCGAUGUCGGCUCAUCACAUCCUGGGGCUGAAGUAGGUCCCAAGGGUAUGGCUGUUCGCCAUUUAAAGUGGUACGCGAGCUGGGUUUAGAACGUCGUGAGACAGUUCGGUCCCUAUCUGCCGUGGGCGCUGGAGAAUUGAGGGGGGCUGCUCCUAGUACGAGAGGACCGGAGUGGACGCAUCACUGGUGUUCGGGUUGUCAUGCCAAUGGCACUGCCCGGUAGCUAAAUGCGGAAGAGAUAAGUGCUGAAAGCAUCUAAGCACGAAACUUGCCCCGAGAUGAGUUCUCCCUGAGACUUUAAGUCUCCUGAAGGAACGUUGAAGACGACGACGUUGAUAGGCCGGGUGUGUAAGCGCAGCGAUGCGUUGAGCUAACCGGUACUAAUGAACCGUGAGGCUUAACCUU